RNAcentral lists this long non-coding RNA (213 nucleotides) under Elaeis guineensis (African oil palm). Its description in RNAcentral is "long non-coding RNA (EGUI_LNC067942)". Lineage: Eukaryota; Viridiplantae; Streptophyta; Magnoliopsida; Arecales; Arecaceae. The record is from RNAcentral.
CCCGAAAAGAGGUAAUGGUAUUCUCAUCUUCAAGAUAAUCUUGUUUGCUAUACCCUUGAGCUCUUGGAAGUUUGAUCUUCGAUUGGUCAUUAUCGGAGUUUUCUUUGGAAGGUCGAGCCCUAUCUUCCCCUAUUGUUUUUGUUGGAUUUCUUCUGAUUUUUUGAUGUCAACUGUCACCACUAGCCGUCAACUAGAUGACCUCCAUCAGCACUA